This 781-nucleotide ribosomal RNA is filed under the name uncultured bacterium. RNAcentral describes it as "bacterial SSU rRNA". It matches the Rfam family "Bacterial small subunit ribosomal RNA", at positions 24 to 807 of the family's 1533-position model. The record is from RNAcentral.
UCAGGAUGAACGCUGGCGGCGUGCCUAACACAUGCAAGUCGAACGAAGCACCUUUUGAGAUUCUUCGGAUGAUCGAUCGGUGACUGAGUGGCGGACGGGUGAGUAACGCGUGGGUAACCUGCCCUGUACAGGGGGAUAACAGCUGGAAACGGCUGCUAAUACCGCAUAAGCGCACGAGGAGACAUCUCUUUGUGUGAAAAACUCCGGUGGUACAGGAUGGGCCCGCGUCUGAUUAGCUGGUUGGCAGGGUAACGGCCUACCAAGGCGACGAUCAGUAGCCGGUCUGAGAGGAUGAACGGCCACAUUGGAACUGAGACACGGUCCAAACUCCUACGGGAGGCAGCAGUGGGGAAUAUUGCACAAUGGGGGAAACCCUGAUGCAGCAACGCCGCGUGAGUGAAGAAGUAUUUCGGUAUGUAAAGCUCUAUCAGCAGGGAAGAUAAUGACGGUACCUGACUAAGAAGCUCCGGCUAAAUACGUGCCAGCAGCCGCGGUAAUACGUAUGGAGCAAGCGUUAUCCGGAUUUACUGGGUGUAAAGGGUGCGUAGGUGGCAGUGCAAGUCAGAUGUGAAAGGCCGGGGCUCAACUCCGGAGCUGCAUUUGAAACUGCAUAGCUAGAGUACAGGAGAGGCAGGCGGAAUUCCUAGUGUAGCGGUGAAAUGCGUAGAUAUUAGGAGGAACACCAGUGGCGAAGGCGGCCUGCUGGACUGUUACUGACACUGAGGCACGAAAGCGUGGGGAGCAAACAAAAUUAGAUACCCUGGUAGACCACGCCGUAAAC